This 613-nucleotide long non-coding RNA is filed under the name Chrysemys picta bellii (western painted turtle). Its description in RNAcentral is "lncRNA (ENSCPBG00000020127.1)". The record is from RNAcentral. Lineage: Eukaryota; Metazoa; Chordata; Testudines; Emydidae.
ACGUUGUUUGCCAGCUUGCGGGUGUGGGGGGACAGAGAAAUGGGAUGAAGAAGCAAUACUCAUGAAGACAAGAGGGGAGUGGAUAGGAACUGCAGAACGGGCUGAGAUGUUUCUGUGAAAAGAAAGUGUUGCAAUAAGUGGGCUGGAGAAGUUCAACCUCAGUUCAGAGAAGAGAACAUUCUGUACUCUGCACAACAGGCAGGACUGCUGUAAAACAAGAUCAACAACAUGAUCUCAGCAGCAGCACUACAAUAGAGACACUUUCAAUACUCAAACUGUCCAAAGGAUUUCUCCAUUUACAUUUAAAAAAAAAUCACACACAAGGAUAUGUGAUCAAGAUCCAAUGCAAAGAGGCAGGGGAGAGUUUAAAGUCCACAAACAUUCCACAUUGAUAAGAACUUUAAGAUAUAUUCCUGCAUAGUAACCCAUCUCAAAACAAUCUCAACACUGGACAGGGUGUCAGUAAAGCAGUCACUGUGGAUUCCCACUGCCGGAGCUGUGAACAAAAUCACUGGUGAAGAGGUGGCUGUUAGAGUAAGAGAUAGGAGGCAAAAGGUCCUGCAGUGGUCAUUCUAAAAAAAAGUGUGGAGCAGACAGUAACUGAAGUUGUCCA